Molecule: ribosomal RNA, 383 nt
Filed under: uncultured bacterium
Lineage: Bacteria
Description: bacterial SSU rRNA
Rfam family: Bacterial small subunit ribosomal RNA
Source: RNAcentral
GACGAACGCUGGCGGCGUGCUUAACACAUGCAAGUCGAGCGGUAAGGCCCUUUCGGGGGUACACGAGCGGCGAACGGGUGAGUAACACGUGGGUGACCUGCCCUCAGCUCUGGGAUAAGCCUGGGAAACCGGGUCUAAUACUGGAUAUGACUCCAUGACGCAUGUUGUGGGGUGGAAAGCCUUGUGCGGCUGAGGAUGGGCCCGCGGCCUAUCAGCUUGUUGGUGGGGUGAGGCCUACCAAGGCGACGACGGGUAGCCGGCCUGAGAGGCGACCGGCCACACUGGGACUGAGACACGGCCCAGACUCCUACGGGAGGCAGCAGUGGGGAAUCUUGCGCAAUGGGCGAAAGCCUGACGCAGCGACGCCGCGUGAGGGAUGACGG